Microcebus murinus (gray mouse lemur) is the source of this 824-nucleotide non-coding RNA. The record is from RefSeq and is a predicted model, not a curated record. NCBI's taxonomy places the organism in Eukaryota, Metazoa, Chordata, Mammalia, Primates, Cheirogaleidae.
GGAAGAGUUCCAGAGCAGAAUUGGAAGGGGAAAGGCAUCAGCAGGAUCUAAAUCCUUGGAGACCAGCGCCUAGGCGGAGCGGUUAAGUUUCCCCUCCCUUUUAUCUCAGACCGCUGGUGGGCUCCCAGCUGCUGGAGAGACCUGCUGCCACCAGCCCAGAGACCACUGCCGCCAGUGGCCAGUGAGCGGGGAGCCUCUGGCACACAGGGCACUGGACUCCCGGUUCCCUCGGCGCGCGUCCCGCCUCACAGAUCCCAGCCAAUGAGCAGGUGCCAUGUUACGUCAUUCUCCCGUUCUGUGAGGAGAAAGCUCUGCGGCUAGCACACCUCCCCGAGCCCGCUUCGGAAAUUGGAAGAAAAGGGGAGUGGCAGCUGACAGAACUACUUAUUGAUAAAAUCUCACUUCAGACAAUGAUCGAGUACCUUGUAGAAGAACAAUGUUCCAUCUACGUACAACUGGAAUAAAGGUGUUUAACACCAUUGGAGAACUGAGACAUCCAGGACUUGAGGGGACAGAAAACCAUAAAAUAGGAAGCUCAUUAAACUCAAGGUUAGAGAUCCAAGGAAGUAUCUGGGAGCGGGGAGAGAUCUGUGGACAACCUUUGUAUUCCCUCCAAUGAAGGCAUAAAGAUUAGAGGAAGGAUAUCAUUACCCAGAACAUUCUAAAUUUCAGGCUAAAAGAUGACAGACUGCACACUCAAGACUUUAUGUGGAAAUCUCCCUAGGUAAGCACACAGCAGAAAGCUAGUUGUGCAUAAACCAGGAAGAAGACUCUCACCAAGAAUCCAACCUACCAUCACCUUUAUCUUGGACUUUCAACAUCUA